CCUGAAUGUCAAUGCAUUUGGUUCUGAAUAUCAGAUGAAUUUUCGCCACUGACCGAACUGGGACGAAGGCCGGUUCAUGUGGACCGCGACCAAUCAGAGCGGAAAGUUAUAAUAACAGCGAUUUGAGCAAUGAGCAACGAGCACUUCCAGAGGGGUACAGGAGCCCGGCUCUGUCCGAAGGUCACCGCAUCACUAGGAUCCUGCAGCCGUCAGGUGGAGGCGAGAGGCUUAGUUCCCCCAGGACAGAUGUGAAGGUAACGCAGUCCCGUUCACUGCCUACUAAAACACCGUCCCAGGGAACACGACAACAGGUACCAUGGCUCUGAUACGCUAUGAAUGAGUCACACCCUCCUGUCGCUCCAAAGCUGACCGUCAGCUCCGAUUCCAGAGGAACCACUGCAGAGCAGACGCCUCCGUGUCUCAGCCUCCGUGUCUCAGCUUCCGUGUCUCUGCUUCCGUGUCUCCUGCAGAUGGAGGUUGUGGCUGACAGCAGAGGAAGGAAGCGGACGACUUGUAACGGGAAACGCGCUGUGACAGCUACAAACCUGAGGAGGAGGAGGCUGAGCUGGGAGGCAGCGGCGCCACAGACGGAUGAUGGAUGAGGGAACAUGGAGGCCGGGACGGAAGGAACGCGUGCCGCCACCUGCUCGGUGACUACGCGGUGCCGGACGGGUCGGCCCGUGUUCUGCUCAGGUGGGAUCCACUGAUCCACUAAAAUGAAAUAAAUGUUUUAAACAUCCGCCGAGGCCCAAACCAGCGCAGCGUCUGCAGCCUCGCGUCAGCGACAGCGUGUACUUCUCAUCAUUUUGCCCCCAGCUUCGUCUUCCUCCGCCGCCACUCUGCAGCUUCACAUGGCAGCGUUUCUGAACACAAGCCCACAUCUUUAACCUUUCAAACGCUGCCACCUGCCAACGGAGCGCUGACCACCCACACAUCCGCCGCGCCGCGCUCCCACCGCUCCGUUACAGCAAAGUCACCCGUGAAUCAUCAGAAACGCGCCAAAUUCUGCUCCGCAAGCAGAAGCGGAAGGAUGUGAGCGUUGGCCAUCAGAAGCUGGUUACUGGGAGCACUGGGAGGACUGGGAGGACACACUGGGUGCAGGUGGGAGACGUCGACUUGCCCUGGCUUUAAAGCCCAUUUUGCUUCUUUUUAGACCCAAUGAACCCAGACUGAGAACGAGGAGGAUCGUUUGCUUCCUGCAUCUUAAAGCGUCACAUAGUGAACGUUUCUCGUCCUCUCGUCCUUAAACAGAUGGUGAAAUGAGCCCCUGUGCUUCAGCCACACACGAACACCCCUUCGCUCGUCCUCUGCCUCGUUCACCCCCGUUUCCUCUGCAGACGACCCACGGAGCCCCCUCAUCCCCGUGUGAGGCCCGACUCCACUGACCGGCGUUCCACCUGCACAGCGACGCGCACAUAUCGCCGCCUCUGUCACGUCCGCCUCCGCAAGCGCUCGUUUUGGAGAAGGAGCCGCUUGAAGGAACGCGACGCUGCAUGUGGGGCAUCGCAGCUCGGCCUCAGGAGAGAAAACGGAAAACAAACGUUUCACGCUGGCGCAGACACAGCAGAAGGAGCCGAGCUGCGUCUGACCUGGCAACCCCUGACCUGGCAACCCCACCCUCCUCUCCUCUCUCUCUGACUUCUAUCUCAGUACUCAGUCCAUCUCAGCUCCACCCUCCCUCUCUGCACCCGUCCUUCUAUUCCCAGGCCACAUUAAACUGCUGUGUACAGAUAUUCAAUUAAAGGGCUGUUGCGUAUAAACGGAGGAACCUAAUGGCGGCGUACGCACACGCACACACUCAGGCACAGAUCACCAGGGACGAGAUGCAGACUAAUAUCACACACCAGUAGGUGCAAAGGGAUGGGGCGUUCUCGAGAUAUUUGUCACUGAGAUACAAUUGGAUUUAUGCGUGCGCUGUACAAGACUGCAGAUUUUAUCAUUCCACACUUCCUAUUGGUAACUUGUUCUAAGACGACAGCACAGGACUCACGUUCUGUUUCUCUCUCCUUUUUCUCUUAGACGAAUCCUCUGUGAUAAAGCUCAAAUCUAUUUUUAAAUCAAUCAGAGAGCGGCUCUGACACACUGUCGUGUGUUUACUCGGUCUUUUGAGUUGCGCUGGAUUCAGGGUUACAUUCAAAGCACGUUUGUCUUCCAAAAAGAAGCAGCAAGCUUGAAAUUAUUUUGAUAUUUUUGGUAUUUAUUCAAAUCUGACCUAAACAACUUUUGCAAACAUUAGCAGAGGCUCCUUUUUAGGAUGCAUGGGUGUUUGUCCAAAAAAAUAAAUAAAUAAGAAA
This is a long non-coding RNA of Betta splendens (Siamese fighting fish), 2294 nucleotides long. RefSeq lists it as uncharacterized. Lineage: Eukaryota; Metazoa; Chordata; Actinopteri; Anabantiformes; Osphronemidae. The record is from RefSeq and is a predicted model, not a curated record. The transcript has 2 exons.